GUGCAAUUUUUUUCCCGAAAAUAAUGUAAUAAUUUAUCAUCAACUAGGGAAAGGCGAAACCAAAAGCCUCCACAACGAUGGCAGUCUCCACAGGCGCUCAAAGGAUUUCCAAGUAUAGUCCGAUCCAUGAACUUUUCGAAAUCAAGCGCAGAUCAUCCCAGAUUUUGCUCAACGAUUCCGUCACUACAAGAAAUGAUGGUUCGCGGAUUCAUUAAUAUGAGUGCAAUCGACUGGCCAUUAGAAGAUCGAAUCGAAGGCAUCCUGGCCGAGGUUGAUCUAUUCCCAUACUGAUAUAUCCAGAGGGGAAGAAAUCAGAGAACAGACGAGAGGAAGAAAUCUGAGAAGGUUAACAUAGAUGAGGGGAAGAAAUCCGGUGACUAACCGAGCAGGACAACGGCAGAGCAGUGUAGUGAGAUCUGGAUCACAGUAACUGUGCGUCGCUGAAUCGAGAACUAGUGUAAAAAUAUCGUAUUCGUGCCGGUGCCGAUCUCCGCAACAAGCAGGAAACCGCCUCCAACCUACAUCCACUAUACCUGAAAUCUCAACGCGAAGAGUGGAAGAUCCGCAGGAAUCUCCACGCAAAGUUUCGUCACGGCCGCCCUCGGGCUGCCUGCUAUUACUCUUUCUGAGUCUGAGCUCCUUCGACCAGGAAAGGACGCGGG
RNAcentral lists this long non-coding RNA (662 nucleotides) under Spirodela polyrhiza (greater duckweed). Its description in RNAcentral is "long non-coding RNA (SPOL_LNC002670)". Lineage: Eukaryota; Viridiplantae; Streptophyta; Magnoliopsida; Alismatales; Araceae. The record is from RNAcentral.